CAAACCCCAGUUCCCAUAUGAUCAGUGAAGUUAAGCAACAUCAAGCCUGGUCAGUACCUAGAUGGGAGACUGCUUAGUAAUACCUGGUGG
Non-coding RNA from Acanthosepion pharaonis, 90 nucleotides. The record is from the annotation of a GenBank genome assembly. NCBI's taxonomy places the organism in Eukaryota, Metazoa, Mollusca, Cephalopoda, Sepiida, Sepiidae.